UACAGAGGUCUCAAGCGUUGUUCGGAUUCAUUGGGCGUAAAGGGUGCGUAGGUGGCGCCAUAAGUCAGGUGUGAAAUCUCCAAGCCUAACUUGGAAACUGCGUUGGAUACUAUCCGGCUCGAGGAAUGGAGGGGAGACUGGAAUACUUGGUGUAGCAGUGAAAUGCGUAGAUAUCAAGUGGAACACCAGUGGCGAAGGCGAGUCUCUGGACAUUUCCUGACGCUGAGGCACGAAAGCCAGGGGAGCAAACGGG
RNAcentral lists this ribosomal RNA (253 nucleotides) under uncultured bacterium. RNAcentral describes it as "partial 16S ribosomal RNA". It matches the Rfam family "Bacterial small subunit ribosomal RNA", at positions 524 to 776 of the family's 1533-position model. The record is from RNAcentral.